RNAcentral lists this ribosomal RNA (304 nucleotides) under uncultured bacterium. RNAcentral's name for it is "partial 16S ribosomal RNA". It matches the Rfam family "Bacterial small subunit ribosomal RNA", at positions 506 to 807 of the family's 1533-position model. The record is from RNAcentral.
CAGCAGCCGCCGCGGUAAUACAGAGGGUGCGAGCGUUAAUCGGAUUUACUGGGCGUAAAGCGUGCGUAGGCGGCUUCUUAAGUCGGAUGUGAAAUCCCUGAGCUUAACUUAGGAAUUGCAUUCGAUACUGGGAAGCUAGAGUAUGGGAGAGGAUGGUAGAAUUCCAGGUGUAGCGGUGAAAUGCGUAGAGAUCUGGAGGAAUACCGAUGGCGAAGGCAGCCAUCUGGCCUAAUACUGACGCUGAGGUACGAAAGCAUGGGGAGCAAACAGGAUUAGAUACCCCCGUAGUCCCUGUCUCUUAUAC